This 1492-nucleotide long non-coding RNA is filed under the name Lynx pardinus (Iberian lynx). The record is from RNAcentral. Lineage: Eukaryota; Metazoa; Chordata; Mammalia; Carnivora; Felidae.
UCAGGGUCAGGCAUCCUCUCCGACUACUCCCUCAGCUGCAGAUCCCCACCCUCCUCUGAAUCCCAGUGGCCUUCGGCUUCAACAGAAGUUCACUGAAUGUCUGUUAAGGAUCAGACCUGUGUGCUGAGGAUUCAAAAUCAUGUAAGACUGCCUGCGUUCCUCCCGACUUAAACAAAGGCCUCCAGCAGCUUCCCACAUCCCCUGCCAACCCCCGGGGUCCUGGACCUUACUUUUCCCUUCGCUAUCCCGCAGCUCCGUUUCACCUUUUCCCCCACCUUGAUACCCCAUCGCCCCUACAACCGCCUCCCCGAAGGACACCUUGACCAGAGAACACAGCAAACAAGCCCGUAGAUGCCGUAAGUCCUUCGGCACCGUCUCCAGGGCCAUCCUCUCCGACAAAUGAACAGCAAAGAUUUGGGCCACGGCCUCCUCAGCCGCAGGAAGUAAACAGCGAUUUACCCAGAAUGCCUUCCACUUCCGGUUUUCCGCACUUCCUGUUCCGGUAUGGGGAGCCGCGGACUCACGCCUUUCUCUCUCUCUCUCUCUCUCUCUCUCUCUCUCCCCCGGCCCCCCCCCCCGGUCAAGGAGAUGGUUUCUCCCGCCUGGAGGCGGGGCCGGCCGGGAGUCACCUGGGCCGGCGCGCGCACCCGCCACCUGGGCGGGCGCGAGGGCGAGGCCGGGAAGGCAGUUGCGCCUGUGGGUAGGGCCCGUGGGGGAGGGGUGGCGCGGCUGGCGCCUGCGCGGGAGCGCGCCGCGGCUCCGGCCGGAACUCCCGGCGGGGCGGGCCGUUUGAUCUAGGCCGCUGGCAGCCGGCCGCCGGUCCCCUUAGGAGGAUCCCAGAUGUCAGCCGAGAUUCUUUUUUGUCUUCCCGUUUUAAAAGCGCAGGGCCAGAGUCCACUGUCUCCAUCUGGAUUAUCUCUGCAGAGAGGAAAAUCAGGGACGGCCCCUUUCUUUCCUGAGAGCAGUAAAGGGUUUCCAUUCGCCGUCCACGGGAAUGCUGGCUUGUGAGCCCAUGGCGGAUACCAGGCCCAUUAUUUUUGAAAACUCUUUACGUACUUUCCUUGUUCCAGCUGAUAAUUUGUUUCGUGCAGCAUUUAGACACAGGUCCUUUACUUCAGAAUAUCUGUAGGGGAUUGGAGAUUGUGUUUUGUUUUGUUUUGAUUUCACCCUAUAGCAAGCUGGAUGUUUCUUUGCUCUCCUGUUCAAAACUGGGCAACAGACAAUGACCACCCCCUAGGAAACCUGUCCUGGAGAAGCAGAGGGGGAAAUGUGCUUUGUGAGGAUGAGAGCAGAGGCUGCCCCAGGCUCUGUGGAAUUCAUACCAACAUAGCACCAGCUCUUGAUCCUCAACCAUAGUCCCGUGGGGAGGCAGAGCACAGUCAUUUGUGUUUGUCAGAAUUGGAGCUCUGGGAUAGUUUCAGUAGUUUCAGGCCCUACUGUUCUAUCCUCCCAACCAGGCGUCCCAACUGAAACAGAGCUUUUUCAAGGGGGG